ACUCCUACGGGAGGCAGCAGUGAGGAAUCUUGCGCAAUGGGGGAAACCCUGACGCAGCAACGCCGCGUGAGUGAGGAAGGUCUUCGGAUCGUAAAGCUCUGUCAGGUGGAAAGAAAGGUACGAGUGCUAAUACCGCUCGUACUUGACGGUACCACCAGAGGAAGCACCGGCUAACUCCGUGCCAGCAGCCGCGGUAAUACGGGGGGUGCAAGCGUUGUUCGGAAUUAUUGGGCGUAAAGAGCGUGUAGGCCGCUUGAUAAGUCAGAUGUGAAAGCCCUGGGCUUAACCCAGGAAGUGCAUUUGAAACUGUCUUGCUAGAGUAAGGGAGGGGGAAGUGGAAUUCCUGGUGUAGAGGUGAAAUUCGUAGAUAUCAGGAGGAACACCGGUGGCGAAGGCGACUUCCUGGCCCUAUACUGACGCUGAGACGCGAGAGCGUGGGUAGCAAACAGGAUUAGAUACCCUGGUAGUCCACGCCGUAAACGAUGUUCACUAGGUGUUGGGGGUAUUGACCCCCUCAGUGCCGGAGCUAACGCAUUAAGUGAACCGCCUGGGG
RNAcentral lists this ribosomal RNA (553 nucleotides) under uncultured bacterium. RNAcentral's name for it is "bacterial SSU rRNA". It matches the Rfam family "Bacterial small subunit ribosomal RNA", at positions 335 to 878 of the family's 1533-position model. The record is from RNAcentral.